RNAcentral lists this transfer RNA (66 nucleotides) under Cuspidaria undata. RNAcentral's name for it is "tRNA-Lys". Lineage: Eukaryota; Metazoa; Mollusca; Bivalvia; Cuspidariidae. The record is from RNAcentral.
UUUAGGGUGGCUGAGGAUUUAGGCACAAAGCUUUUAACUUUGGAACAGUUGGAUAACUUCCUGGGA